UACAGAGGGGGCAAGCGUUGUUCGGAAUUACUGGGCGUAAAGGGCGCGUAGGCGGCGUGCUAAGUCGAACGUGAAAUCCCCGGGCUCAACCCGGGAACUGCGUCCGAGACUGGCAGGCUUGAAUCCGGGAGAGGGAUGUGGAAUUCCAGGUGUAGCGGUGAAAUGCGUAGAUAUCUGGAGGAACAUCGGUGGCGAAGGCGGCAUCCUGGACCGGUAUUGACGCUGAGGCGCGAAAGCCAGGGGAGCAAACGGG
This 253-nucleotide ribosomal RNA is filed under the name uncultured bacterium. Its description in RNAcentral is "partial 16S ribosomal RNA". It matches the Rfam family "Bacterial small subunit ribosomal RNA", at positions 524 to 776 of the family's 1533-position model. The record is from RNAcentral.